This 466-nucleotide ribosomal RNA is filed under the name uncultured bacterium. Its description in RNAcentral is "partial 16S ribosomal RNA". It matches the Rfam family "Bacterial small subunit ribosomal RNA", at positions 28 to 506 of the family's 1533-position model. The record is from RNAcentral.
GAUGAACGCUGGCGGCGUGCUUAACACAUGCAAGUCGAACGGUGAAGCAGAGCUUGCUCUGUGGAUCAGUGGCGAACGGGUGAGUAACACGUGAGCAACCUGCCCCUGACUCUGGGAUAAGCGCUGGAAACGGCGUCUAAUACUGGAUAUGAGCUGCGACCGCAUGGUCAGCAGUUGGAAAGAUUUUUCGGUCUGGGAUGGGCUCACGGCCUAUCAGCUUGUUGGUGAGGUAAUGGCUCACCAAGGCGUCGACGGGUAGCCGGCCUGAGAGGGUGACCGGCCACCCUGGGAAUGGGCCCCGGCCCAGACCCCUCCGGGGGGCAGGGGGGGGGAAUUUUGCACAAGGGGGGAAGGCCGUAGGCAGCACCCCCGCGUGGGGGAGGACGGCCUUCGGGUUGUAAACCCUUUUUAGGAGGGAAGAAGCGAAAGGGACGGAACCGGAAGAAAAAGCCCCGGCAAACUACGU